AGAUAAAUCAAGUGCAAGGGAAGGUAGAGAAGCUUUGGAGUUGGCAUGGAUUGUGGUGGAGGAAGAGUGGAGAGAGUUUGUGAAGGAAAACUCAUGAGAAGGGGAUGAUGAAGAAGGAGAUUUUGGUAAUGCUUGCUCUUCUUUUUCUUGCUUUAACUGAGCUCUUUCUGAAAUUUCCUUAUCCACAUUAUUUUCCUUCUUCUUUUGGUGAUGAUGAUGUGCUUCCAUAACAGUGUCACUGAGAUUAUCUUGAAAGAUAACAAGAUUCAAUGUUGUAAUACCAGAAACUCUCACUCUAUAAUCCUUUUGUGUGUGUGUGUGUGUGUGUGAUGGAGAGAGAUAGAAAGGUGUUGUAAUAUUUUCUUUGUUGGAUAGAUACUGACAAAUCUUUAGGAAGGAUAAGAAAAGAAGGAAGAAAAAGAGAGUGUGUUUGUUUCAAACUGCAUCUUGGUAUGCCUUAAACUUUUCAUAAGACAUUAACUUCAAUGUGUAUUGUUUUGGUGAUAUUCAAGUUGGAUUUUUUCCUAGUUACUUGCAUAAUAUGGAAGAAUGCUUUGGAAGGAGAUAAGAUCAUAAUUUGUACUCGUCUGUUAAGAAGGUAGCUGUCAAGUCCAACACCUUUGGUUGUGCUGUUUUUUUUUCCUUCUUUGAAAUGAUGUCACAAAUACCCAAAGUUGGCCUCAUUAAGAAAGAUGAAACUGUUAGGGCUUAUUUCAUGCAAGAAACUUAGUUGGCUUUUUUGUUUUAAUAAGUGAGAAGGUCCAUACUUUUUGAUAGAAUUAGAAAAUGGGAAAUGAAAUUAUGAUAGUUACAUGGUUCCCUUUGCUUAGCAUAUAUAUUACGUAUUAGGUUCGACGUACCAGGUUCUAUAUAAAAGAAGUCUUUGUAAUAAUAAUAUAAAAAUUGACGAAGUGCGUAGAAUCGGGUACUACCACCCAACAUGUAAAUAUGCAAAGCAUACACCUAGAAUAUGAAGUAUAAUAAAUAAGAGAGUUAGAGGGCCAUAACCACCGUCUAUAUGUUGGGAAUGAUUCAGUUCACCCAUUAUCAUUCAUAGAUGAACAUUGAACAAGAAAGUUCAGAAGGAGCAAAAUGUCGUUUAGUGAAGGAAGGUCAUGUGAGUGUGAACCCACAUGGUGUAGUGUCAAGUGUGCAAAUAUCCAUUUAUUCAUCUUAGUGCAAGUACACAACCAUAUAUAGAUUAUAGACAUGGAAAGACAGAAGAAGAUGAAAGAAUAGUUGGGUGAUGGGAGUGGUCAUAGACCCACAUACACGUGCAUGUGGUGGUUAUCUAGCAAGCAUAAAGGAAUUAAUUUUGUAUUAUUGUUGAGAUCAAUAUCUUAAUCAUAGAGACAUUAUUUGGUUGGAUUGAUUCAUUGAACCAUCCUCACCACUUUUAAUUUCGUAGCUCUAAAUUAUAUUAUAGCUUUCUAGUGUUUUCAUUUCGAGGUAAAAGAAAACUUAGCAUAAACAAAUACUUCAACUAAUAACAUAGAGAAAUAGAGCUACUUUAUUUUUUGUGGGACAACUUGUGAUUUUAUGAAAAGUUACUAAGCUGCCUACCAUAUCUUAAAUCUAUAACUUAGAAGACUUUUGUCACUCAAUAAAAACUUUGACAAUAAGUCAAAGAGAUCAUAGGUUUGAGUCGCGAGAAAUUCCAUUCAGGAGAAUAGAAUAUUGUAUGAACAUUUAAGCAUAAUUGAUGACAUGAUUAAUAAAUUUAUAGACACAAAGAAGUCACAUAUUUAGGCUUGGGUGUAAUAGUAAUAAUGAAUUAUGAAAAUCCUAAUUUUAUUAAGAGUUGCGUUGAUACAUGGAACUUUUAUAUUUAAAAGGUGGUGUUUGAGGAAACAUGUCUCUCAUAAACACCAUAAUAGCCAUUCAAUAGAAGUAAUUUUGUAUUGAACAAUUAAUGAAGCUUGCAAAAUUGAGGAAAGACCAUCAAGGGAUAGAUAUAUCACUUAUAUAUUUCAUUUUUAUACAUAUGUAUAAGUUCACUUGUAGUAACCAGCCUCAAGUUGAUACAUAGAAAACAAGUUAGAUAUCAUAUUAUCAGCCAAAACAACUGUCCAAAACGUCACCAAAAACUCCCCAAGAUUGAACUUCAACUUCAUACUAACCUGCCAAAAAGUUGCACAGUUUAUGAGAUCACCAAAAUAAAAGACUAAUAAUUAAGUUCAAACUGAAUGUGGAGCAUAUAAGUUUAAAUGAUUAUUUUUGCAAUUGCAAAAGAACCAGACAGAAUGUGAUAGGAAAGUAAAGUGAAGCCAGACAAACUUUAGUGUGCCUAAUAUAUACUCAUUCACUAUUUUUUUUAUUUCUUUUCGUGAAUGUUCUUUCGUUGGUGUAAUAAUUUUUUAUAAGAAUCUAAAUGUACUUCAAAAACUUGUACAGGUCCCAAGCUUAAUGCCAAUGGACAAUGGUGAGUAAAAAAUUAAAAUACAUGGCAUGAUGGCACUAUUAUCUAAGACUAACAUAGCUAUAUUUGAGAAUACAUAGCACAAGUGACCCAACUUGUUAACAUAUGGUGAUUCACAUUUCAAUUCAACUUAACAAUAUUCUGAGCCCAUAGUAUAAUUGCAGACAAUAAAGAAUAGUUUAGUAUAAAAAGUAAAAGCAAAACCCAACUAAUAAUAUGGACUUGACACACACCAAAUAUGGAUCUUAAAGACAAAAUGCAUUAGUUUAUGUGAAUAUCUUUGCAACAGCAAAAGAGAACGCCAACUUUAGUGUGCCAAACCAUAACCCUCAUAAGCAACUAAGAUUACUCGUUCACUAUUUUUUGUUGCUUUUGGUGAAAGCUCAUUCACUAGUUUAAUAAAUUUCUACAAGAAAAUAAAUUGUGCUUCAAAGAGUGUUCUAAUUAGCAAAACCCAGAAUAAUACCUAGAUAAAUUUUACUGACUCUAAUCUCCAGGUGCAAUUUACUCAUGUUGUUCACCCUCCUCAGCCAGACCAUUCACCCUAACAAUAUAAACCUGAAAGAAAAUAUUAGCAAACACCUUAUGUCAUAAUAAAUAAAAGUAGAGAAUAGGGACAAUGCAAAAUUUCAUACAUUCAAAUUGUAAAUGAUAGCAGUAUUGAGAUAGCUCAAAAUAAUUUCGGUAAAAACACAGCAAAGAAACUAAUCAACUACAAUGCUGCAUUAGUAGUAAUCACAGAACAUGAACUGAAAAAAACCAACACACUUUUGAAAAAUCUAUGAAAAGGUGAAGAACUCGUUCAUCAAGCAGAUCACAAGCAUUUUUUGUUGUUGUUGUAACAUUCAUAAAUACCAUAGACAUAAUCAAAUAUGAUGAAUGUGUGAAGCACCCUGGCAUGACUGGAAUCACCUUGAAUGCAGUGCGAUUGAUCAAUUGAAAAACUAAAGCAUCCCCAUCUGCUAGGUCAUGAGAAAUUGCAAAACCUCUCCAUCCACCACUAAGUCCUCUUUUUUGAGACAAAUAAACUGUUGGAUAUUCAUUCCCAUCCUCAUCUAUCAAAUCAAUUGUCUCAUCCCGUUUCGGGAGAUUUCUCCUGCUGAAAUCGACUGGAAGACCCUGUUUUCAAGGAUUGUCGAAACACAAUGAUAUUAUAAAUUGUGGGUAUAAACAAAUCAAAAUGCAUUUUUAACUGAUCCACUUCUGCAGUAUUGAAGCAACAUUUGCAACUGAGGCAUUCGGUGCUAUCUUAUUCAAGCAACACAAAUCAGAAUCACAAAUAUGUUUAUUUGAACAAUGUUGUAAUGAUGCAGCUGCAACCCAUUAAUAAAAAGUAAGAGAAGAGUAUUACCAGCCAGAAUCCGCCACUAACAUGUGAUUGGAGCAUUGACUUAAUAAAAGUAGGAUACUGAGAAUCUAAAUCCGACUCUAUCUUCUGUGCUUUCUCCAUAGCUUCCUCUCUAUCUUCAUCCGAAGCAUAUAUCCGGUUCGAAUAAUCCCUGUGCCUGUUAUAACUUCUACACACAUGAUAUGCAAAAAAAUCAUGUCAACUAAGAUUGGCAUACAAGGAAUCACAGACACUACAACACCGAAAACCGACACAACAUUAGACAAAUUUGAACAACUAAAGGACAAUGCAGGCGAUGUGAAAAAACAUAAGAUUAACACGAAAGCGUAAUUAUUCUUUUACAAGUUAGCAUAGUCACCUUAAACAUACUAUAAUGCUCAAUUUUAUCAAAAUGUUAAGAUAUUUCCGUAUAAAUUGGGAUGAAAAAUCCAAAGAAUAAGUAUAAAACAUAGAAUAUGACUAAGAGUGUUUGAAAAUGUUGAGUGUAUCUACGUGAGGAGAGUUUGUUCCACAAAGUGUCAUUACAUGUGUUAUAAAAAAGUUAAUUUUUAAAUUUUUAACUUAAAUACAUUUUAUUCAACACGUGAGUGACACACUUUUGGGGAGAACAAAUAUGUUACGAGUAAGAAAUGUGGAAUUUAAGUUGAAGUGUAGCACCUUCUAGGUAUAGUGACGCGAUCAAGAAGCACCUGUGAGAAAGAGAAAUGAGAGUGAGAGAGAAGUUGGAAAGGAAAGUGAAAGUGAAAAAUAAAAAGAUUGAGAGAGAGUGGUUACUUGUUUGUAAAGAGGAGAAGGAAGAUUGGCGACACGACCAGAUCUCCUUACAAGAACGAGUUCUUUAUCUUUGUUUGGGGUACGAGGUUUAGAAGGAGAAGGUUUUGGAGAAGUGGACUUAUGAAGAGAUUUAGAAAGAUGAUGAAGAUUCAGUGCCUCCAUUCUCUUCUUAUUCUCUUCCAUUCUUUUCCUACGACUUUCCUCGUAUGCUGCCACCAUUUUCAGACUCAAACAAUGUUUCUUCUUCUUCUUCUUCUGUGUAGCUGAGAAGGAAUGAGAAUGAAAUUCAAAAUGAGAUUCAUAUAAGAUGGGGCCCACUCGUGUUACCGUUGGACCCCAAAUGGAAAUGGACUCGGGUGCCUAGGUUAGUGGCUAUAAAAUUGCAACACUGUAAUUUAAAAAAUGCAUAUUAGUUUCCAUACUUGUUCACUAUAUCAUUUCCAUAUUUUUUGGGUCCAAAUUCAAUGCAUCUUCAUUACUUAUAACUGCUGGUGACCAAACUCAAUAUGGAUUUAUUUGUUUUGAAAAUGAGUUAUAUUUUCAAUUUGAAUUCAGCUAGAUUGAAAUUUAUGAAUUAUUCGAUUCAAGUUAUUAAUUUGAAUAAAUUUAGUUUAUCAAAAGUUCUUAUUAGUUUGAUUAAACUAGUUUGUUAACUCGAAUGAUGAUUAUUAAAGUUAAAAUAUAUAUAUAUAUAUAUAUAUAUAUAAUCAAAUCGAAUUAUAAAUUUAAUAAGUCAAUUAUUUUUGUUUAUGAAGCGGGUUUAUUAAGCUAAAUAAUUAGUUGAAUUCCUGAUAAAUGUAUAAUUAGUUUGAUUCAUUUGACUCUACAGGUAAGAUGUAUAAUCACCAUAUAUUUUUAAUUCGCUUUCAAAUAUACUACAAUCACAAGGGAAGGUAGAGAAGCUUUGGAGUUGGCAUGGAUUGUGGUGGAGGAAGAGUGGAGAGAGUUUGUGAAGGAAAACUCAUGAGAAGGGGAUGAUGAAGAAGGAGAUUUUGGUAAUGCUUGCUCUUCUUUUUCUUGCUUUAACUGAGCUCUUUCUGAAAUUUCCUUAUCCACAUUAUUUUCCUUCUUCUUUUGGUGAUGAUGAUGUGCUUCCAUAACAGUGUCACUGAGAUUAUCUUGAAAGAUAACAAGAUUCAAUGUUGUAAUACCAGAAACUCUCACUCUAUAAUCCUUUUGUGUGUGUGUGUGUGUGUGUGAUGGAGAGAGAUAGAAAGGUGUUGUAAUAUUUUCUUUGUUGGAUAGAUACUGACAAAUCUUUAGGAAGGAUAAGAAAAGAAGGAAGAAAAAGAGAGUGUGUUUGUUUCAAACUGCAUCUUGGUAUGCCUUAAACUUUUCAUAAGACAUUAACUUCAAUGUGUAUUGUUUUGGUGAUAUUCAAGUUGGAUUUUUUCCUAGUUACUUGCAU
Molecule: long non-coding RNA, 5949 nt
Filed under: Lupinus angustifolius (narrow-leaved blue lupine)
Lineage: Eukaryota; Viridiplantae; Streptophyta; Magnoliopsida; Fabales; Fabaceae
Description: long non-coding RNA (LANG_LNC000515)
Source: RNAcentral